Molecule: transfer RNA, 33 nt
Filed under: Hyla meridionalis (Mediterranean treefrog)
Lineage: Eukaryota; Metazoa; Chordata; Amphibia; Anura; Hylidae
Description: partial tRNA-Lys
Source: RNAcentral
UGUAGAUAGGUGACUCCCAACCACCCUUAGUGA